Molecule: ribosomal RNA, 600 nt
Filed under: uncultured bacterium
Lineage: Bacteria
Description: bacterial SSU rRNA
Rfam family: Bacterial small subunit ribosomal RNA
Source: RNAcentral
CUGGCGGCGUGCCUAAUACAUGCAAGUCGAGCGGUUCUCUUCGGAGAGCAGCGGCGGACGGGUGAGGAACACGUGAGUAACCGGGCGUCCGGUGGGGGAUAUCGGGCCGAAAGGCGCGGCAAUCCCGCAUACGGCUUGACCGCGCGAGCGGUCAAGGGAAAGGUCUUCGGAUCGCCGGACGGGGGGCUCGCGGCCCAUUAGCUAGUUGGGGGGGUAAUGGCCUCCCAAGGCGACGAUGGGUAGCCGGCCUGAGAGGGUGAUCGGCCACACUGGGACUGAGACACGGCCCAGACUCCUACGGGAGGCAGCAGUAGGGAAUCUUCCACAAUGGGCGCAAGCCUGAUGGAGCAACGCCGCGUGAGUGAAGACGGCCUUCGGGUUGUAAAGCUCUGUCUGUCGGGACGAGGGCCCGGAUGCAAAUCCGGGAGGGACGGUACCGGCGGAGGAAGCCCCUGCAAACUACGUGCCAGCAGCCGCGGUAAGACGUAGGGGGCAAGCGUUGUCCGGAAUUACUGGGCGUAAAGGGCGUGUAGGCGGUUUCACACGUAGCGGUUUUCAGCCGCCGGCUCACCCGGCGGANGGCGGCUAAACGGUGGAACU